AGAAAAGAUCCGAUUCAUUGAGAUGACUCGCUUCACGUCGCCGAUUCGAAUGCACGUCAGUCAACUGUCACCAACCGUCUUCUGAAGAAAUCAUUUUGAUCGCCGGUCGGACAGCAAACUACCUGUUGGCAGGUUGACAUAAGAAAAUGGGCAAAACAUGGGUCCUAGUGGAAUGAAGGGAGGAGCCACCGAUCUGACAUUGUUCCUAAAAAGAACCUACUGAAAAAUAACUUUGAACCUGGAGAUGUUGUGGAUGUUGCCGAUGAGGAUGAAAGUUCACCAGCCACAGUUU
Long non-coding RNA from Danio aesculapii, 292 nucleotides. RefSeq lists it as uncharacterized. Lineage: Eukaryota; Metazoa; Chordata; Actinopteri; Cypriniformes; Danionidae. The transcript has 3 exons. The record is from RefSeq and is a predicted model, not a curated record.